GGCUCUGUGGCGCAAUGGAUAGCGCAUUGGACUUCUAGGUGAAAGAAGAAAUUCAAAGGUUGUGGGUUAGAAUCCCAUCAGAGUCG
Molecule: non-coding RNA, 86 nt
Organism: Xenopus tropicalis (tropical clawed frog)
Lineage: Eukaryota; Metazoa; Chordata; Amphibia; Anura; Pipidae
Source: Rfam